This is a long non-coding RNA of Bos taurus (domestic cattle), 4607 nucleotides long. NCBI's taxonomy places the organism in Eukaryota, Metazoa, Chordata, Mammalia, Artiodactyla, Bovidae. The record is from Ensembl.
CCGGGCUGGAUGGCAGCCUCGGGAACAGGGAUGCGGGACCUCUAGGGAGAAACCGUGGCUCGCGGCUGAUGGACUCGCAUCUCCCCCCUCCCCCGACAAAGGCCGUUAAGUUGUAAGUACACUUCCACGCACCUGUUUCUUUUACCGCCCUCCCCCCCUUUUCUUUCUUUCUCUUUGUUUUAGGCUGCCAAGUGGGAAGCUGGCAGGGCUGACAGUGUCCGCAGAGCCCGGGGAAGGGCUACUCGGAGCUGGGCUGCAGCUGCAACCUCCCGCUGUCCCUCUAGCUCGAGAUGGUGUGUGAUCGGAAACCAUCCAGCGCGAGGCAGCCAGACUGCCGAGCGAGUGCCCAAGGCAUUGUGGGAGUCAUGAUUCCAAGAGGCCCGCGAUUUAAAAUUGAACUUGUCAGUUCCCGGUCACGGGAGCAUUGUGAGCGCCACAACUCAUUCAGCUGCAGUGAAAAGACUGUUGCAUGUCGCUGUGCAGCCUCUUAUCGCCGAGGUCUGGUUUCCGCUGCUGCUGCGCGGCCCCUCCCCCGCCGGCCCAGCCCCACCAGGAAGCCCUGGGCGGACUCCGCGAGCCCCGGAACGCACGCGGCGACAGAAAAAAAAAAAAUGCUCUUCAACUUUCCGCCGCCCGGCGGCUCAGCCCCCCGCCACCUCGCCACCCCUCAAUCUAACAAGAGUCCGCCGGGGGUGGCGGUUGCCACUCGCCCAUCGGCGCAGAAAGCAAAAGGAAACCCGAGCCGGCGCUGGCGCGGUGCAUCCCCGCCGCCUCCCGGUGGUAUCUUCCAUCUUAUACGUUCAACACUGUAACCUCCGAGCUAUAGUGCCCACGGGACGCACCCCUGCUACUUUCUGAUCCUUGAGACUGGCUGGGCAGACAGAUAGGUUCGUAUUUGAAAGAGGCGGGUGGAUGGGGCUUGGUAAGGCCGUCGGCAAGGUUAGACUGAAGGUGAGUCUCCAAAACUGGAUAAAACAGUAGGAGCUGGUGGGGCUGGCCGCCUUAAAAUGCACCACGCAGAUUUCGAACCUGGAUGGCCCAUAGACGGGAAAAACAUCCGCAAGACUGCCAGUGUGUAUCUUUCUCCAGGAACAGGGUGUCCACGGUUUGGGAAUUCUACGGUAAAACUGUCACACAAGCACGAAUACUCACAUACUAGCUUCCCAUCUACUUUGUAAAUAAUAUUUGGACUGUAAAACCCCCUUUCACCCCAACUCUGUAUUAUAUGAUAUAUAGAAAGCAGAGACUCCUCCUUCCUUAUACAAUAUUCAUUUUCUGAAAUACUAGAAUCGUCCGAGGCAAAUAAGUCAUAUUAUUGCUGGAACAAAAGAAAACACAGCCCCAAAUCAUAAUUCACUGGGUGUUAAUGAGAUUUAACUUGCCUUCACUUUGAACGGAAAGAAUCCUGGACUAUUGUGAUGUGAUCAAGUUUUAAAGAUUUGGGGGGCAGAAUUUACUUAGGAUUUAGGGAAUAAUUAUUCAACGGUGAUUACAAUUUUUAAACUUUUUUCUAUGUUUUGAAUACAGUUUAGGAGCAAACGCUACCUAUCGUGUGAUGUUUCUACAAGUUUGUUAGGUUGUUUUAAAGAUGGUGGGGACGGCUGAAGGAGGAGAAGGAAAAGCAUCGUGAAAGGUGCCGAAGUACAAAACUACUUCUAGAGGUAUUAAUAAUGACUUGAGUUCUCUACUCUUGGCUACAUCCACAAAACACUGAGUUAAUAUUGUGUACUGCUCCCUUCCAGAACAAAUACUUUAAUUAAUUAGAUGGUGCCGCUUCUCAGUAUUAAUCAUGAAAAAGUACCCAAGUGCACACCCAGUGGAAGCAAAUUUAAAAGGAAACCGACACUUUCUCAAAGGACAGGGAUGGGCAUUCUCUAUCUGCCAAUUAGGAGCUACCCCAAGCAAUGAGGACUUCCUUUCUUCUAAUUCAGCAUUCAUUUCAACAACUACAUCAAUAGCCUGCUAUGCCAGAGAUUCAAGAAUGGAUAACAACAUAGAGUCCCUCCCCUCAAGAAUACCUCUACUAGGGAAGAGACUGGAGAAAAGACAAAUUAAUUAAUUCUGGCUGAAGGAUAAAUGCUAAAAUGAUGGGAGGCAAGACCAAGGUGCUUUCAAGUAGAGUCAAGAAGGCUUCCUGGAGGGGUUGUUUUAACAGGUGCCUUAAAGGGGGGUAUAGAAAUUAUCAAGAUGCAUAGAGAGGUGAAUCCAGGUUCUGUGGGAAAAGAGCCUGGCAAAUACAAUGGAACUGCUAGUCUUGGGGUUAGAAGUGAGCUGGAUACUUGUAGGAGAGUGGCAGCAAAGUGAACUAAAAGUAGGUCUGUAUUCACCCAAGGAGUCUCAGCUUUACUCUGAAAACUGUAAUAAUCUAGAUGAGUUUAAUCAGCAAAGAGAUAGGUUGAAUUUGGACUUGUAUUUCAGAGGGAUCCUGUGGCAGCAGCUUGGAGAGUGAAUGGGAGUGUGGGGUGGAGGCUGAUGGAAGAAGGGUGAAUGGGUGUGGACAGACUGGAAAAAUGACUCAUGCAGGGAAUGAGGAAGGGAGGAGCCUUGGGAGACUCCCAAGUCCCUGGCUUAACCUACUGGAUUGUUUGCUACUUGCUUUUUAAUUUUGCCUCCAUUCUCCAUGACAACAGAGACUGACUUCAGAGCUGGGCCACCUGUGCAUGUGCUAGCAGGUUGGAGGCCUUGUCGGCUUCCACACGCCUCUCCUCAGAAUGACCAGUGAACCGCCAAGGGCUAAUCCCAGUUGUAGGAACUUCUUUUCAAUUGUUCUCAGACCCUUGCAGACUUCCAAGUCAGAGCUUUGGUGUUCUUUUUUCAUGUGGGCUAGAAAAUUUGCUGUUUGGAGCAACAUGAUGAAAAACAAGACUUUGAACCUGUGUAUGGUGCCAGAGGGGAAACUAUUUUUCCACUUCAACACUGGAGGAGGGGGAAGUUCUGGGAACAAAAGAGAAAUUGAAACUGAGACAAAUUUUCUGCUCCACUGCACAGAAUACAAAGAAAUACAAGAAAGACCCUUAAGUGUUAGGAACAGUAGAAUAAACAUCCUAGUAAAUGACAAAGAAGAGGGAAAAAAUGUUAUUCACACUAGUAAAGGAAAAAGGGGUGGCUAAGAAAACUCAUACAAAGCAGUUUUCAACCCAGGACUCCAAAGUGAGUCCAAAUAAAUUGUGAUAUAAAACUUCAUUAUCACUGGUCUAGCUUAAUUUAUUGUCAUUGAUAAUACCAUAACAUGAAUAAUGACAUUUAACAUUUCGAAGCAGUGUAGCAAACACCAGAUCCUAUGUUAAAAAUAUUAAAUCAUAUGGCCAGCUUUCACUACCAGUAGCAUGCUAACCACAUUUCAAAUUGUGAAAAUUAUUAAAAAAUCAUUAUCGUAAUAAAAAGUAAAUAGUUCCCCAUUUAGAAUACCAAUCAUAUUCCCUCAGUGCUAGGAUAGCAUUAUGGUUUCUCUUACAUCUAUGAAGUGUAGUUAUAGUCCAUAGGCUCAAGAGUGAGUGCAUCUAUAAGUAUAAAAAGAAUGUCAUUUGUGGGUGGAGAGGGAAAUUAUAGAGAACAAUUUUAGAUGAAAUAAAACUACAUGUUAAGAUAAAGGAAAGAAUAUUCACUGCAGGUUUCUGAAAUAUUUUAGACCAUUCAAGUUUUAAUUAUACCAAUGAAUCCCCGUAGAAAUACAGUUAAGGAAUAUGGUUUUUAGAGAUAACAUUAACUACCUGGUUUACCAAUAAAAUAGAUAAAGGAAACAGUAGCAUUGAUCUUUUUCAUUCAAGUGGGAAUCUUUACAGCACUGUGUAAAUGUGUGUGUACAAAUUGUAUGUUUCUUGUCAUACACACCACAUUUAUAUAAAGUAAGCUCUCAUAGCCGUCUAAAUAUUAUUUCCUUUUUCUGCAUCGUCCCCCUCAACUCAUCAUCUAAAUGAAAAUACCCUUAGAAGUUACGCUCUUUAAACUCGAAUUAUGAAAAGGUCUUGAAUCACAGAUCUAGGAAUGCUGUUUGUAUUAUUCUGAAGUAAAAAUAAUCCAUUGGAAGAUAGUGUCAAAACUAAGAUUCAAAUUCGGGCACCGUGAUUUUUAACCCAUGUUUAAAUAUAGAUGGUUAAGAGAAGCUGCUGGAAGGCAAUGAAGAAUUGGAAACACUCCCAUAUGGUGAAUCCAUUUUAAGUAUAUGCAUUAAAUGUAUCUCCAUUCAGUUUUACAGCAGGGAAGAGGGUUGAAGCAUUUUUCUGUAGCCUGGAUUCUAACCUGUUUAGGUAUCUGAAUAAAUAUAUUAAUAUUUGAUAGAGUUAUAUGAAUUUAGUUACCUAAAUUUAGUUUAGGAUUUUUAUAUAUUGCACAUAUAAGUAAGUUUUAAAAAUCAUACCUAGUAUUUAAAUAUUAAAAAUAUAUAUUCUAUUAUAUAUUAUGUGUAUGUAUAGUAUGUUAUGUAAUAGGACAUAUUACAUAUAUAUACCACUUAAUAUACAAAUCACAUAAAUGUAAAAACAUUAUAUCAAUUCAAUGUACUUGUCUUACAAUGUACGUAAAUAUUAAAACUGAGUUAAAAUAUUAAUUUUAUUAUGCAUUUUUUUUGGCAUCCCUGGGUAGGCAUGAACCAAAUGUGCAUUUUUCAG